GACGAACGCUGGCGGCGUGCUUAACACAUGCAAGUCGAACGGAAAGGCCCUGCUUUUGUGGGGUGCUCGAGUGGCGAACGGGUGAGUAACACGUGAGUAACCUGCCCUUGACUUUGGGAUAACUUCAGGAAACUGGGGCUAAUACCGGAUAGGAGCUCCUGCUGCAUGGUGGGGGUUGGAAAGUUUCGGCGGUUGGGGAUGGACUCGCGGCUUAUCAGCUUGUUGGUGGGGUAGUGGCUUACCAAGGCUUUGACGGGUAGCCGGCCUGAGAGGGUGACCGGCCACAUUGGGACUGAGAUACGGCCCAGACUCUUACGGGAGGCAGCAGUGGGGAAUAUUGCACAAUGGGCGGAAGCCUGAUGCAGCAACGCCGCGUGCGGGAUGACGGCCUUCGGGUUGUAAACCGCUUUCGCCUGCGACGAAGCGUGAGUGACGGUAAUGGGUAAAGAAGCACCGGCUAACUACGUG
RNAcentral lists this ribosomal RNA (468 nucleotides) under uncultured bacterium. Its description in RNAcentral is "partial 16S ribosomal RNA". It matches the Rfam family "Bacterial small subunit ribosomal RNA", at positions 28 to 507 of the family's 1533-position model. The record is from RNAcentral.